GACGAACGCUGGCGGCGUGCUUAACACAUGCAAGUCGAACGAAGAGCGAUGGAAGCUUGCUUCUAUCAAUCUUAGUGGCGAACGGGUGAGUAACGCGUAAUCAACCUGCCCUUCAGAGGGGGACAACAGUUGGAAACGACUGCUAAUACCGCAUACGAUCUGACCUCGGCAUCGAGGAUAGAUGAAAGGUGGCCUCUACAUGUAAGCUAUCACUGAAGGAGGGGAUUGCGUCUGAUUAGCUAGUUGGAGGGGUAACGGCCCACCAAGGCGAUGAUCAGUAGCCGGUCUGAGAGGAUGAACGGUCACAUUGGGACUGAGACACGGCCCAGACUCCUACGGGAGGCAGCAGUGGGGAAUCUUCCGCAAUGGACGAAAGUCUGACGGAGCAACGCCGCGUGAGUGAUGACGGCCUUCGGGUUGUAAAGCUCUGUUAAUCGGGACGAAAGGCCUUUUUGCGAAUAGUGAGAAGGAUUGACGGUACCGGAAUAGAAAGCCACGGCUAACUACGUG
Molecule: ribosomal RNA, 510 nt
Filed under: uncultured bacterium
Lineage: Bacteria
Description: partial 16S ribosomal RNA
Rfam family: Bacterial small subunit ribosomal RNA
Source: RNAcentral